This 404-nucleotide ribosomal RNA is filed under the name uncultured Sphingobacteriales bacterium. RNAcentral's name for it is "bacterial SSU rRNA". It matches the Rfam family "Bacterial small subunit ribosomal RNA", at positions 980 to 1382 of the family's 1533-position model. The record is from RNAcentral. Lineage: Bacteria; Pseudomonadati; Bacteroidota; Sphingobacteriia; Sphingobacteriales.
CUCGAACGUAAGAUGACUGUAGGUGAAAGCUUUACAUCUCUUCGGAGCAUUUUACGAGGUGCUGCAUGGUUGUCGUCAGCUCGUGCCGUGAGGUGUCGGGUUAAGUCCCAUAACGAGCGCAACCCCUACCUUUAGUUGCCAUCAGGUAAUGCUGGGGACUCUAAAGGAACUGCCUACGCAAGUAGUGAGGAAGGCGGGGAGUGACGUCAAAUCAGCACGGCCUUACGUCCAGGGCGUACACACGUGCUACAAUGGCCGAUACAGAGGGCAGCUACCUGGUGACAGGAUGCAAAUCUCCAAAGUCGGUCUCAGUUCGGAUCGGAGUCUGCAACCCGACUCCGUGAAGUUGGAUUCGCUAGUAAUCGCGCAUCAGCCAUGGCGCGGUGAAUACGUUCCCGGGCCUU